Ahaetulla prasina is the source of this 1614-nucleotide long non-coding RNA. RefSeq lists it as uncharacterized. The record is from RefSeq and is a predicted model, not a curated record. The transcript has 2 exons. Lineage: Eukaryota; Metazoa; Chordata; Lepidosauria; Squamata; Colubridae.
GGGGCGGCGGGGGGAGGGGCUGCAGCUUCUGGCGUUCGCAGUCCACCGGUUGUGGUCCCGGUGGCUCCGGAGGUGGAUCGUCUCGUACGUCUGGAAGGCUCCCGGCCACUGCUUUAAGCCCCAAGGAGAAUGAUUAGGUUUUUCCAGCCGAGAUGCGAUAACCAUCAUUUUAACAAAGUGACAGUAGCGAAGCAUGGGCGAUUGAGAGCAGCGAUUUGAAAGAAUAAGGCAGGGGACCAGACCAUCGCUGGAAAUUGCUAAGAUUUUUUAAAAUGUUUACUUAGACAUAAUUUGGGUAACACUUUUACUAAGGUGAAAUUCUAUUUCAGCAUCUUAAUUACAUUACAAACAGAUUUUUGCUACUAUGAUGUGAUGGACUCUUAAAAUGGUUAGGAGAAAUUUAUGGAAAUUAUAGAUUACUUCCAGUCUGUAGCAAGCUAUCUAUGUAUUGUGCACCUAGUUGCGAUAAGGUCUUUAGCUCAAUUAUGGAAAGCUAACAUUUCCUCCACCCUAUCAUAUGGCAGGGGGGAAAAACUUGUAUGGCUGUAGUUGUUAACUGAAAAAGAAUUUGUAGAAAUGCUGCUGCAGAAAUAGAUUUUUGCCACUGCUUCCCGCUAGAAUUGAGGAUUGGAGAAAUGAAGAAUUAACCAAAUUCAGAUUAUAUGUGGAGGCGUAAUCAAUUGUUAUGUAAUCUGAAUCAAUUAUGUCAGUUUGGAGAGAUGUGGCCACAAUCAUGCUUUGGUCAGCAUACGAUUUCAAACCACAGUAUGAUUUACUGUAUCAUUUGAUCACAGUGUUAACUAUUUCAUGAACUUUUUCCUUAUAAAUUGAAGGGAUUAUUUUGCAGCAUAUGUUUAUUUCUGGUUACUUCUGGCAUUCAAAUAAUUUUUAUGAUAUAGCAACUUUUAAUUAAGAAAACAGUCAAAACCAUAGCCUAGCCUUUGCAUAAAUGCCACAUUUAUUUCUUUAACUGAACAGUGCCUGAAGUGUACACAAACAGUUUAAGACCCUAAUUUCCAACACUCAUAAUUUAAGACAUCAAGAAAACUAGACUCAUUACUUCAGUAUUGUUAUUUAUACAGUGGUAAAGGGUGUUCCCACAGCAAUCACAUAUAUACUGUACAAAGCAAGAGAAAUAGUCUCCCAGCAUUUGGAGAUGGCAUCACAGGAAGAGCUCAUGUAGACAAACUAGAUAAUGGAAGCACAGGCAAAAUAAGAAAAAUUAAAAUAACUAUAACCUCUGUUAUACAGAAAGAUCUUGAUACUGAAUCUCAGCUUAUGAAUGUUAGAAAUCCUUCGUACUGUAUAUGCAAUUGAAUACACUACAGAAAAAGAGACAGUAAUAGCAUAUUAAACAGUUAAAUGUCUUGUGUUAUAGCUGCAGAUUACCAGAGGUAUGCAAUUUCCUUAUGGUAUUUGUUGUUCUUUGCUAAUUAUGUUCCUUUCAUUUCUGUUGCUUUGUAAUAAUAUUCAAGUCUGUCAUGCUGGAUUAAUCUACUGGAAGGUGAUAGAAAGAACUUCUGUAUGGGAUAAAUGUCUCCCUUAGUUUAGUGUGUGCAGCUGAAGAAACAGAAAACUAUGUCACCCAGUAAAUAAACAUCAACCUCUAGCGUG